Eleginops maclovinus (Patagonian blennie) is the source of this 846-nucleotide long non-coding RNA. RefSeq lists it as uncharacterized. The transcript is spliced from 3 exons. Lineage: Eukaryota; Metazoa; Chordata; Actinopteri; Perciformes; Eleginopidae. The record is from RefSeq and is a predicted model, not a curated record.
AGAACAAAGAAAUCAAAAUGGGCCGGAGGGGAUAUUCUGCUUUCAAAGGUCAAUACUGAGGCACUAGAAGGAUUUAAGAUGACCCUUUACCCUGGCUUGUCACAGCGUCAUCAAGUAAAAUUCCACUCAAGAGAACAGCAUGCCGCUCUCUUCACAUGAAAAGCAUGGAAACCCCAGCCGUAAACGGUAAAGAAAACCUAAAGUGCAGGAGGAAGUUUUCUCAAGACUGAAAACUAAAAGUUGGAUUCAUAUCCGGUUUCAUUACAUCAAGUUAUUUUCUCAGUAUGUGUCAAAAGUAUCCCCUCUUUUAAGACAAACUCACAUUGAAGUGGAACACAAUUAAUACAUUUAAUUAGAGAAACAUGGUUAAACACAGGUUAAACUAUGUUAAACACAAAUUCAACAGAUAAACAAGAUUAAGCAUAGAGUAAACCGGAUUAAACCAAGUUAACUACAGGUUCAAACACAGGUAAACCAAAUUAAACACAGAUAGACUAAGUCAAACCAGGUUACAUUACAUGUCAUUCGUUGGACACUUUUAUCCAAAGCGACAUGGAUACAUUGAAUACAGUGGACAAUCCCCACAGGAGCCAUUUGGGGUGAAGUGUCUUGCCCAGGCACACAACGACAUGCUGACAGUGGGACUCAAACCUGCUCUCCCCUGAAGAUCAGUGCACCAUCUCACUGCGCCUCAGCCUCCCAGGUUGCACCUAGCACAGGUAAAACACAGGUAAACCAAAUUAAAAACAGGUUAAAUGUAGCACAGGUUAAACAAAGGUGAACAAAGUUAAACUAGGUUAACCGAUAAAAGUAGGUUAGAGCAGGUUUAACUUUUCAAAUAGUGCU